UACGUAGGGUGCAAGCGUUGUCCGGAAUUACUGGGCGUAAAGGGCGCGUAGGCGGCCACCGCAAGUCGGUUGUGAAAUCUCUGGGCUUAACCCAGAAAGGUCAACCGAUACUGCGGGGCUAGAGUGCAGAAGGGGCAACUGGAAUUCUCGGUGUAGCGGUGAAAUGCGUAGAUAUCGAGAGGAACACCGGUGGCGAAGGCGGGUCUCUGGGCAGUAACUGACGCUGAGGAGCGAAAGCGUGGGGAGCGAACAGG
Molecule: ribosomal RNA, 254 nt
Filed under: uncultured bacterium
Lineage: Bacteria
Description: partial 16S ribosomal RNA
Rfam family: Bacterial small subunit ribosomal RNA
Source: RNAcentral